GCGUAGCCCAGGAGGACGCAGGUGACGCCAUUAUCCCGUCUUGUCCCGCAGCCACCACCGCAAAGGCGAAAGGCAGUUCCGGGCCGCCUUCUUGUAUACAGUGGGGGCUCCCAGGAUGCCACGCGGCGCCUACAGCUCCCACCAUGCAGCGCAGCCUUCACGCCCAGGACGCAUCUCUGCGGGAGACGCUGACGCGGCCGGCAAACUACGAGUCCCAUGGUGCAUGGCUACCGGAAGCGCGGUUUCGCUGCUGCCUGCGCGGGCCACACGUGGCCCGGGCGCUAUUGCACUGGUCCAGCCCGCUGCCCUUCCGGGUCUCAGGUGGUUCCCAGACGCGGGAACAGGAGUUCGCUGUCCGGCCCGCCCAGUGGGGUGGGCGAGCUGCUCCGCGCGCUCACACCGCCGAACCGAGCCGCUGCUUCUCCCCAGCGCCUUGGUGGGAGCUCCGGCCGAAGCUGGGAGGCCCUGUCACCGCCGCCCCGAGGAGCGGAGCCAGGAGUGCCGAAGCCCGCGUGACUCCCCCCACACCCCCUGCCCUGGCCUUGUCGGCUCGGGACAGAUCUCAGGGUCCACACGGACGUAGCACACGUAGCACACGUCACUCAUUCACUCUCCGUGUCAGGAACCCUGCUGCAGGCUGGCGUCAGUCCUGAGAGGGAACAGGCCCGGUUCUGCCUCCGCAGAACUCAGGUUCUAGUGCGCGGACACGCAAAGUAAAUAAACGAGGCAGUCCCAGGCUGACACUGUCACGGGGCUGAAGGAUGAGAAGGAGCCGGCCCUGCGAAGAUGUGGGGCGAGCAUUAGCCCCCAGGGGUCAGAUGCAAAGGCCCAACUAAGGUGGCCGGAGAUGGGUUCAGAGGCAGCAGCCAGCCCAUGCGGGCUCUGACAGCAGGUGAACCCGCGUGUUAGCGCCAAGCACUGGUUUGUUAACGCAAGCCACACGGUACCCUUAUCGUAUAGAUGAAGUCAGACAUAGAAAGGUUUUCUUGCUCGGGGUCACACAGCUGCGGUAAAGUGGGGAAACCGUUUGGGAAGGAUGGGACUUUACUGCAAUCACACAAGAAAGUGUUGUGAUUGUUUUUAUUUAAAUUUUUAAAUGGUAAAAUAAUACAUAACGUAAAACUUACCAUUUUAACCAUGCAAUUUAGGGACACUAGGUGCAUUGACAUUGUUGUGCAAUCAUCACCCCCAUUUAGCUCCAGAACUUCUCAAACUGAACUCCAUACACAUUAAACAAUAGCUCCCCAUUCCCCUCCCCCAGCCCCUGGCCCCCACCAUUUUACAUUCCGUUUCUAUGUAUUUGACUGCUCUAGAGGUUUUACAGAAGUGGAGUCAUACAGCAUUUGUCCUUUUGUGUCUGGCUUGUUUCUUUAGAGUAAUGCUCUCAAGGUUCAUCUACAUUAUAGCAUGUGUCAGGAUUUCAUUUCUUUUUAAGACUGAAUAAUGUUCCUGUGAUUGGU
Molecule: long non-coding RNA, 1460 nt
Organism: Aethalodelphis obliquidens (Pacific white-sided dolphin)
Lineage: Eukaryota; Metazoa; Chordata; Mammalia; Artiodactyla; Delphinidae
Exons: 2
Source: RefSeq, a predicted model, not a curated record